Molecule: transfer RNA, 75 nt
Filed under: Cavia porcellus (domestic guinea pig)
Lineage: Eukaryota; Metazoa; Chordata; Mammalia; Rodentia; Caviidae
Rfam family: tRNA
About the family: Transfer RNA (tRNA) molecules are approximately 80 nucleotides in length. Their secondary structure includes four short double-helical elements and three loops (D, anti-codon, and T loops).
Source: Rfam by way of RNAcentral
GCAGAUGUAGCUCAGUGGAAGAGUAGUGUUUGCUUAGCAUGCAGCAGGGCCUGGGUUCAAUCCCCAGCACCACCA